This 292-nucleotide long non-coding RNA is filed under the name Lathyrus oleraceus (garden pea). Its description in RNAcentral is "Pisum sativum (pea) long non-coding RNA (PSAT_LNC007157)". Lineage: Eukaryota; Viridiplantae; Streptophyta; Magnoliopsida; Fabales; Fabaceae. The record is from RNAcentral.
ACUUUGGGGCAGGGGUUUGAUCCUUUGUGAUGGUAGAUUUUGAAUUCACUAUUUUUUUUAUAUAAUCGCCAUCCUUUAUUUUAUUUUAUUUUCGUAACUUUUUGAUUUAAUUUAAUCAUUUUGUAUCCUCUAUUUAAAUCAAAUUAUUUUAAAACACUUGUUGAUUUUGUUUUAUUUUAAUUUUUAAUUUUUAAGUGUGUGAAUAAAUUUUUUGUAGAUUUUAUUUUAUUUUCAUUUUAAUUUUUAAGUGUGUGAGUAAAAAACUUAUUUAUUUAUGCAUUCAUUUAUACUC